CCCUUAUAUGUUCUGGGCCGCACGCGCGCUACACUGAUGCAUUCAACGAGCCUAUCCUUGACCGACAGGUCCGGGUAAUCUUUGAAUCUGCAUCGUGACGGGGAUAGAUUAUUGCAAUUAUUAAUCUUCAACGAGGAAUGCCUAGUAGGCGCAAGUCAUCAGCUUGCGUCGAUUACGUCCCUGCCCUUUGUACACACCGCCCGUCGCUCCUACCGAUUGGGUGUGCUGGUGAAAUGUUCGGAUCGGCCGUUUGUCGCGGUUUCCGCGUCAUGUGGCUGAGAAGUUCAUUAAACCCUCCCACCUAGAGGAAGGAGAAGUCGUAACA
Molecule: ribosomal RNA, 325 nt
Filed under: uncultured eukaryote
Lineage: Eukaryota
Description: partial 18S ribosomal RNA
Rfam family: Eukaryotic small subunit ribosomal RNA
Source: RNAcentral